CGAAAGCCUGAUGCAGCAACGCGCGUGCACGAUGAAGGCCUUCGGGUCGUAAAGUGCUUUUCUGGGAGAUGAGAAAGGACAGUAUCCCAGGAAUAAGUCCUCGGCUAACUACGUGCCAGCAGCCGCGGUAAAACGUAGGAGGCGAGCGUUAUCCGGAUUCACUGGGCGUAAAGCGCGUGCAGGUGGCUUGGUAAGUUGGGCGUGAAAUCUCCCGGCUCAACUGGGAGAGGUCGUCCAAUACUACCGGGCUCGAGAGCAGAAGAGGAAGAUGGAAUUCCCGGUGUAGUGGUGAAAUGCGUAGAUAUCGGGAGGAACACCAGUGGCGAAGGCGAUCUUCUGGUCUGUUUCUGACACUCAGACGCGACAGCUAGGGUAGUAAACGGGAUUAGAGACCCCGGUAAUCCUAGCCGUAAACGAUGUGAACUUGGCGUUGGUGGGUUAAACUCCAUCAGUGCCGCAGCAAACGCGAUAAGUUCACCGCCUGGGGACUACGGCCGCAAGGUUAA
This 506-nucleotide ribosomal RNA is filed under the name uncultured Chloroflexota bacterium. RNAcentral's name for it is "bacterial SSU rRNA". It matches the Rfam family "Bacterial small subunit ribosomal RNA", at positions 376 to 897 of the family's 1533-position model. Lineage: Bacteria; Bacillati; Chloroflexota. The record is from RNAcentral.